AGGGCGAUGGACCCCCCCCUCGGGGGGGGCGGCUCGGUGCAGACCCCCGCGCCCACGUUAAAGAGCCUGGAGAGCGAGGGGAGGCAGCGCAGGCACCGACAGUGCGACCCUGCGUUUGCUAUGCUGGUGUUCACACGUCACAUCACAUCAGUAGAUGCCCAUUCCAACAGCAUGAGACCAUCACAGCAAACCAGUGCGUGUCCAUCAUUCAAGUGUCCCUCACAUCCUACCACUCCACCACUGGGUGUCCGUCAUAUCUGACCAGCGUGUUGGUACCCCAUCUCACCAGGAUGCGCCCAUCCCAUCUCACCAACGUGCGCCCGAUCCAUAUUACCACUAUGUUCCAACCCCAUCUCAUAAGGAAGUGCCCAUCCCAUCUCAUCAGUGUGUGUUCAUCCCACCCCAUCAUGAUGUGCUCAUCCCAUCUCAUCAAGACGUGCGCAUCCCACCUUAGCAGGAUGUGCCAAUCCCACCUCUCCAGCACGUACCCAUCCUAUCUUACCAUGAUGUACCCACCCCACCUCACCAGUAUGUGCCCCUUUGAUCUCACCAGUACGUGCCCACCUCAGAACCCAGA
Molecule: long non-coding RNA, 577 nt
Filed under: Gallus gallus (chicken)
Lineage: Eukaryota; Metazoa; Chordata; Aves; Galliformes; Phasianidae
Description: long non-coding RNA NONGGAT006565
Source: RNAcentral